This is a non-coding RNA of Hydra vulgaris (swiftwater hydra), 1465 nucleotides long. The record is from RefSeq and is a predicted model, not a curated record. NCBI's taxonomy places the organism in Eukaryota, Metazoa, Cnidaria, Hydrozoa, Anthoathecata, Hydridae.
AACAUGAAAAUUCGCUAGAAAAGUUCACUGGAAGUUCGCUGGGUUUUGGAACAAGUUCGCUGGAAAUUUCCAGCGAACUUCCAGUGAUCUUUAAAGAUCACUGGAAAAGUUCGCUGGAAGUUCGCUGGGUUUUGGAACAAGUUCGCUGGAAAUUUCCAGUGAACUUUAGAGAUCACUGGAAAAGAUCACUGGAAGUUCGCUGGGUUUUGGAACAUUUUUUCACUGGAAGUUCGCUGGGUUUUUUUGUUAGCAAAAGAUUUGAGAAUAAUGAGUAUUUUGAAAAAAAUCCAAAUGGAAGAUCACAUCAACACAGCAAAUCAGUUAUAAGAGAAGUUACAAGUAAAUUUUAUUGUUUCCGCUUGACUACAUGCACUUAGUAUAUCUUGUAUGUAUGCAUAGAUGCAUAGCUGCUACUGACUGCUGCAUUUCCUUAAAGAAACGAUCAAAGGAAAAAAUACUGGAAAGUUGUCAGCUAGUAUCAUUAAUCAAAUUUCUGAAAAUCUUGUUGCUUUGAUUGGUAAAUUACCAAGUGAGUUUGUCAGACAGCCAAGAACACUGAAUGAACUUAAUCAAUGGAAAGCUACCGAAUUCAGAUCUUUUGCUUUAUACUGGUAUAGUUGCAUUGAAAGGCUUCGUUGACAUUCUGUUUACUACCAUUUUUUAAGUCUGCUUGUUGCCAUAAGAUUUUUAUGUGAAAAUGAUAAUGUUGUGCGAACCUCAAACCUAGAAAAUGCUAGACAACUUAUUCGAUAUUUUGUUGUUAAUUCUGGUGAAGUUUAUGGAUAUUUGUUUUGUGCAUAUAAUGCACAUGGACUUUUGCAAAUUUGUGAUGAUGUAGAAUUUUACGGAGUCUCCCUUGAUAAAUUAUCUGCCUUUAAAUUUGAAAACUAUCUUUAGAAGUUAAAAAGAUUAGUAUGCAGCAAACAUAAUUCUUUGGCUCAAAUAUGUAAAAGAUUGGAUGAAAUGGCUGAUUACAACCAUGAUAAAAAAGCGACAAGCAGAAUGACCACAACCAAAAAAGACUAUUGUUUUUUAACUAAGGAUAGCGUUGUAUUUCUUCAAAAUUUGGUUGAUGAAGACCACUUUGAGUGUUUGUCUUAUAGCAUACAAUUCACAGAUGAUAACUUUACUUUGUUCCUUCACAGAAUAUUGGUAUUUGAUUUAUCAGGAAUACCACAAAACCUAGUUUUUACAUUAAAGAGAAAAUCAGAUUUUUACGGAUGUAUUUAUAUGAAAGUUAAAGAUUUGCUGUUUCUUCUUUGGUGCAUUCUGUCUAAAUGGAGAGAUUCACAAGAACGCAGCUGCUUAGUUAAAAAAUCUUAAUCGGAAGAAGCAAAAGUGAAUGGCGUGGUGCCAGUAAGAUGGUAUCGAUAUGAUCUAGUCUCAAUUAAGUUAGUCGCAGGUAAGUGUUUUAAAAAAGUUUGACCAUUUAUUUUUAGACCAAUUUUUUAAUGUAUUGUGCUUG